AAAAAUUUANUUAAGUUAUAACAUUAGUUUGUCAUACNAAAA
Molecule: transfer RNA, 42 nt
Filed under: Nicrophorus investigator
Lineage: Eukaryota; Metazoa; Arthropoda; Insecta; Coleoptera; Silphidae
Description: partial tRNA-Asn
Source: RNAcentral